GAUGAACGCUGGCGGCGUGCCUAAUACUUGCAAGUCGAGCGAACGGACGAGAAGCUUGCUUCUCUGAUGUUAGCGGCGGACGGGGGAGUAACACGUGGAUAACCUACCUAUAAGACUGGGAUAACUUCGGGAAACCGGAGCUAAUACCGGAUAAUAUUUUGAACAGCAUGGUUCAAAAGUGAAAGACGGUCUUGCUGUCACUUAUAGAUGGAUCCGCGCUGCAUUAGCUAGUUGGUAAGGUAACGGCUUACCAAGGCAACGAUGCAUAGCCGACCUGAGAGGGUGAUCGGCCACACUGGAACUGAGACACGGUCCACACUCCUACGGGAGGCAGCAGUAGGGAAUCUUCCGCAAUGGGCGAAAGCCUGACGGAGCACCGCCGCGUGAGUGAUGAAGGUCUUCGGAUCGUAAAACUCUGUUAUUAGGGAAGAACAUAUGUGUAAGUAACUGUGAACAUCUUGACGGUACCUAAUCAGAAAGCCACGGCUAACUACGUG
Molecule: ribosomal RNA, 497 nt
Filed under: uncultured bacterium
Lineage: Bacteria
Description: partial 16S ribosomal RNA
Rfam family: Bacterial small subunit ribosomal RNA
Source: RNAcentral